GGGAUCAGUAGGGAGAACCCAUUUGGAAGUAUUAGAGAGUGAGGAAUCUGCAGAGGAAGGAGAAUGGAAAAUCUUGGAAGGUAAAGAAUGUCGAAGAAUCUCAGGAAGAACAUCAGGGGAAGAUGAUUCUUGAUUUAGAGAAGUGGAAUUGGAAGGAGAAGAAGUUGGAUUUUUGUUGAUCUUUUGGGCUAAACGGGUAACGGCAUGUUUGGAUUCUUCAAAGAAAAAAGCUCCUUCUUUU
This 241-nucleotide unclassified non-coding RNA is filed under the name Hevea brasiliensis (rubber tree). The record is from RNAcentral. Lineage: Eukaryota; Viridiplantae; Streptophyta; Magnoliopsida; Malpighiales; Euphorbiaceae.